UGCCAUAUCCAAUGCUUCUCC
This 21-nucleotide microRNA is filed under the name Panagrellus redivivus. RNAcentral's name for it is "prd-miR-7907b-5p". The record is from miRBase by way of RNAcentral. Lineage: Eukaryota; Metazoa; Nematoda; Chromadorea; Rhabditida; Panagrolaimidae.